RNAcentral lists this ribosomal RNA (497 nucleotides) under uncultured bacterium. RNAcentral describes it as "partial 16S ribosomal RNA". It matches the Rfam family "Bacterial small subunit ribosomal RNA", at positions 28 to 507 of the family's 1533-position model. The record is from RNAcentral.
GAUGAACGCUGGCGGCGUGCCUAAUACAUGCAAGUCGAGCGAACAGACGAGGAGCUUGCUCCUCUGACGUUAGCGGCGGACGGGUGAGUAACACGUGGAUAACCUACCUAUAAGACUGGGAUAACUUCGGGAAACCGGAGCUAAUACCGGAUAAUAUAUUGAACCGCAUGGUUCAAUAGUUAAAGACGGUUUUGCUGUCACUUAUAGAUGGAUCCGCGCCGCAUUAGCUAGUUGGUAAGGUAACGGCUUACCAAGGCAACGAUGCGUAGCCGACCUGAGAGGGGGAUCGGCCACACUGGAACUGAGACACGGUCCAGACUCCUACGGGAGGCAGCAGUAGGGAAGCUUCCGCAAUGGGCGAAAGCCUGCCGGAGCAACGCCGCGUGAGUGAUGAAGGUCUUCGGAGCGUAAAACUCUGUUCUUAGGGAAGAACAAAUGUGUAAGUAACUAUGCACGUCUUGACGGUACCUAAUCAGAAAGCCACGGCUAACUACGUG